RNAcentral lists this ribosomal RNA (488 nucleotides) under uncultured bacterium. Its description in RNAcentral is "bacterial SSU rRNA". It matches the Rfam family "Bacterial small subunit ribosomal RNA", at positions 28 to 496 of the family's 1533-position model. The record is from RNAcentral.
GACGAACGCUGGCGGCGUGCCUAAUACAUGCAAGUCGAGCGGGGAUUAUGCUUGAUCGCUUCGGUGAGACGGCAUAUAUCCUAGCGGCGGACGGGUGAGUAACGCGUGGGUAAUCUACCUCGUAGUUCGGGAUAACAGGCCGAAAGGCUUGCUAAUACCGGAUGAGUUCAUGCUUAUGCAUAUAGGCAUGAAGAAAGGGUUAGCCCGCUAUGAGAUGAGCCCGCGUCCCAUUAGCUUGUUGGUGGGGUAAUGGCCUACCAAGGCAACGAUGGGUAGCCGGCCUGAGAGGGUGUACGGCCACACUGGGACUGAGACACGGCCCAGACUCCUACGGGGGCAGCAGUAGGGAAUUUUGGACAAUGGGCGCAAGCCUGAUCCAGCAAUGCCGCGUGCAGGAUGAAGGCCUUCGGUUGUAAACUGCUUUGUACGGAGCGAAAAGCUCUCUCUAAUACAGGGGCUCAUGACGGUACCGUAAGAAUAAGCACCGG